Molecule: unclassified non-coding RNA, 345 nt
Filed under: soil metagenome
Description: partial contains 5.8S ribosomal RNA, internal transcribed spacer 2, and large subunit ribosomal RNA
Rfam family: 5.8S ribosomal RNA (bases 1-120)
Source: RNAcentral
GAUGAAGAACGUAGCGAAAUGCGAUACGUAAUGUGAAUUGCAGAAUUCAGUGAAUCAUCGAGUCUUUGAACGCACAUUGCGCCCCCUGGUAUUCCGGGGGGCAUGCCUGUCCGAGCGUCAUUGCUGCCCUCAAGCACGGCUUGUGUGUUGGGCCUCCGUCCUCCUCCCGGGGGACGGGCCCGAAAGGCAGCGGCGGCACCGCGUCCAGUCCUCGAGCGUAUGGGGCUUCGUCACCCGCUCUUGUAGGCCCGGCCGGCGCUUGCCGACACAUCAACCUUUUUUCCAGGUUGACCUCGGAUCAGGUAGGGAUACCCGCUGAACUUAAGCAUAUCAAUAAGCGGAGGA